Molecule: ribosomal RNA, 1315 nt
Filed under: Escherichia coli DEC5A
Lineage: Bacteria; Pseudomonadati; Pseudomonadota; Gammaproteobacteria; Enterobacterales; Enterobacteriaceae
Description: partial 23S ribosomal RNA
Rfam family: Bacterial small subunit ribosomal RNA (bases 431-1315)
Source: RNAcentral
AAUAGAGAAAUAACGCUGAUGAUUGUGGAUAACUCUGUGCGUAAAAAGGUAUAAAGCGGGGUUUUGCUGGGGAAUGCAGCAGUCAGUCAUUUUUCUGCAAUUUUUCUAUUGCGGCCUGCGGAGAACUCCCUAUAAUGCGCCUCCAUCGACACGGCGGAUGUGAAUCACUUCACACAAACAGCCGGUUCGGUUGAAGAGAAAAAUUCUGAAAUUCAGGGUUGACUCUGAAAGAGGAAAGCGUAAUAUACGCCACCUCGCGACAGUGAGCUGAAAGCCACGUCGCAACUGCUCUUUAACAAUUUAUCAGACAAUCUGUGUGGGCACUCGAAGAUACGGAUUCUUAACGUCGCAAGACGAAAAAUGAAUACCAAGUCUCAAGAGUGAACACGUAAUUCAUUACGAAGUUUAAUUCUUUGAGCAUCAAACUUUUAAAUUGAAGAGUUUGAUCAUGGCUCAGAUUGAACGCUGGCGGCAGGCCUAACACAUGCAAGUCGAACGGUAACAGGAAGAAGCUUGCUUCUUUGCUGACGAGUGGCGGACGGGUGAGUAAUGUCUGGGAAACUGCCUGAUGGAGGGGGAUAACUACUGGAAACGGUAGCUAAUACCGCAUAACGUCGCAAGACCAAAGAGGGGGACCUUCGGGCCUCUUGCCAUCGGAUGUGCCCAGAUGGGAUUAGCUAGUAGGUGGGGUAACGGCUCACCUAGGCGACGAUCCCUAGCUGGUCUGAGAGGAUGACCAGCCACACUGGAACUGAGACACGGUCCAGACUCCUACGGGAGCAGCAGUGGGGAAUAUUGCACAAUGGGCGCAAGCCUGAUGCAGCCAUGCCGCGUGUAUGAAGAAGGCCUUCGGGUUGUAAAGUACUUUCAGCGGGGAGGAAGGGAGUAAAGUUAAUACCUUUGCUCAUUGACGUUACCCGCAGAAGAAGCACCGGCUAACUCCGUGCCAGCAGCCGCGGUAAUACGGAGGGUGCAAGCGUUAAUCGGAAUUACUGGGCGUAAAGCGCACGCAGGCGGUUUGUUAAGUCAGAUGUGAAAUCCCCGGGCUCAACCUGGGAACUGCAUCUGAUACUGGCAAGCUUGAGUCUCGUAGAGGGGGGUAGAAUUCCAGGUGUAGCGGUGAAAUGCGUAGAGAUCUGGAGGAAUACCGGUGGCGAAGGCGGCCCCCUGGACGAAGACUGACGCUCAGGUGCGAAAGCGUGGGGAGCAAACAGGAUUAGAUACCCUGGUAGUCCACGCCGUAAACGAUGUCGACUUGGAGGUUGUGCCCUUGAGGCGUGGCUUCCGGAGCUAACGCGUUAAGUCGACCGCCUGG